AACGAACGCUGGCGGCGUGCUCAACACAUGCAAGUCGAACGUGAAAGGCUUCGGCCGAGUAAAGUGGCGCACGGGUGAGUAACGCGUGGGUAAUCUGCCCUUGGGCGGGGGAUAACCUCUCGAAAGGGGGGCUAAUACCGCAUGAGACCACGGCUUCUCGGGGCUGUGGGAAAAGGUGGGUCGCAAGGCCUGCCACCUGAGGAUGAGCCCGCGUACCAUUAGGUUGUUGGUGGGGUAAUGGCCUACCAAGCCGAAGAUGGUUAGCUGGUCUGAGAGGACGAUCAGCCACACUGGGACUGAGACACGGCCCAGACUCCUACGGGAGGCAGCAGUGGGGAAUAUUGCGCAAUGGGGGAAACCCUGACGCAGCAACGCCGCGUGUGUGAAGAAGGCC
RNAcentral lists this ribosomal RNA (394 nucleotides) under uncultured bacterium. RNAcentral's name for it is "bacterial SSU rRNA". It matches the Rfam family "Bacterial small subunit ribosomal RNA", at positions 29 to 416 of the family's 1533-position model. The record is from RNAcentral.